GCCGGUGUGGUGCAGUGGUUUAAGCAUUGGACUACAACUCUGGAGACUAGGGUUCGAUUCCCCACUUGGCCA
Phrynosoma platyrhinos (Desert horned lizard) is the source of this 72-nucleotide non-coding RNA. The record is from the annotation of a GenBank genome assembly. Lineage: Eukaryota; Metazoa; Chordata; Lepidosauria; Squamata; Phrynosomatidae.